GUGUGUGAGUGAGUGAGUGAGUGAGUCAGUGAGUGAGUGUGAGUCAGUGAGUGAGUGAGUGAGUGAGUGAGUGAGUGAGUGAGUGUAUGUGUGUGUGUGUGUGUGUGUGUGUGUGUCAGUGAGUGAGUGAGUGAGUGAGUGAGUCAGUGAGUGUGUGUGUGUGUGUGUGUGUGUGUGUGUGAGUGAGUGAGUGAGUGAGUCAGUGAGUGAGUGAGUGAGCGUCAGUGAGUGAGUGAGUGAGUGAGUGUGUGUGUGUGUGUGUGUGUGUGUGUGUGUGUGUGUGUGUGUGUGUGUGUGUGUGUGUGUGAGUGAGUGAGUGAGUGAGUCAGUGAGUGAGUGAGUGAGUGAGUGAGUGAGAGUCAGUGAGUGAGUGCCAUGUAAACAGUACUUUAUGGGAGUUAUAUCACAACUCUUCCAUGUGCCUUUCUGAUACAAAAGAUCCAAUUAAAGAGUUGCUCUUCCUCUUUCAAUUGCAGAAGAGACUGCAGAUAUUAACACUGUGAGUGACCCGAUUGGUGGAAGGUAGCAGGUUCCCCUUUCCAUCCCCCUGUGGUCACUUGUCAUGGUAUUCUGGGGUUUUAAUCGGGACAGUCUGGUGUGAGAGCAUUCAGGGUCUCAGCCUGACUCCUGUGUGCCACUGAUUACAGCUGAAGGCCUUCAGUGACGCUCAUGAGUCAUCACUACUGCUGAUGUUGAUGUACUGUUAAAACCUACCGAGUGUACUAGCAUUUAAAGACAUCAUACAUGCUCUCCAAGGCUGCUUCCAAAGGUUAGUUGCAUAAUUCUGUUAAGAUGCCAAAAUCUAAGAUCGCACUGCAUGCAAUCAAAGACGUGAGAAGCACUGAAUCACUUGCAUUUCAGUCGUCUUAGUAGGCAGCUGCCUAUGCAGACAGUAAUGCAGCUCUUUAGGGUUUGGAGCAGAGCCACUGAGUCUGUGUCCAGCAGCUGUAAUGAAAACAUGAAACACAUCGUUUGAACUUGAGCAGAGAGAGUCUGUGAGAGAGGAGCUGUUCACUGGAACACGAGCCACUGUGCUCUUCCUGUUCUGUAGUUUAUUCAUUAGAGAACAUGAGAGUGUAGCGCAUCUAUCUAUCUAUCUAUCUAUCUAUCUAUCUAUCUAUCUAUAUUUCUAUCUAUCUGUCUGUCUGUCUGUCCGUCCGUCCGUCCGUCCGUCUGUCUGUCUGUCUAUCUAUCUAUCUAUCUAUCUAUCUAUCUAUCUAUCUAUCUAUCUAUCUAUCUAUCUAUCUAUUUGUCUGUCCGUCUAUCUAUCUAUCUAUCUAUCUAUCUAUCUAUCUAUCUAUCUAUCUAUCUAUCUAUCUAUUAUUUUUAUCACCCACCCAUCCAUCCAUCCAUCCACCCAUCCAUCCA
This is a long non-coding RNA of Cyprinus carpio carpio, 1368 nucleotides long. Lineage: Eukaryota; Metazoa; Chordata; Actinopteri; Cypriniformes; Cyprinidae. The record is from Ensembl.